Molecule: long non-coding RNA, 1209 nt
Organism: Xenia sp. Carnegie-2017
Lineage: Eukaryota; Metazoa; Cnidaria; Anthozoa; Malacalcyonacea; Xeniidae
Exons: 2
Source: RefSeq, a predicted model, not a curated record
AGAUGAGCUGUCGUGGAUAAAUUUUAUCAUUUGUUGUCGUUUUGAAUGGUUAAACACUCGAGUAAUAUCGGAAUAAUAGUAAUGCAUUUUGACAGUAAUCUUGUUGGUUGUUGGAACUGUUGAUUGAAGUAAAAACCUACGUUACGUGUAGAACAAAGAAAUGAAAGAAAUCAUUUGAAAGUCACGCCUUUAUCAGUAAUCAAUUAUCAGGGUUCCGAUUGUUAUUUGUACUCAUCUAAAAGUACACAAAUUGACAAAUCAUAAAAUAUCAUUGUUUUCAAAUAUAACACCAGCUGAAAACGUACGAAAUUACGAUAGAGUAAAAAUGUGGCCAUCACGACAAAAUUCAAUUUUAUGACGCGAGCAAGGUUACAAAAAAAUUAACAUUUCCAUAUUUGUAGCUCAUUUUCAAAACGUAACAGCCUUUCACAGGACAAUUUAAAACCUAAAACUUCUUUUGUAUGAAUUUUGCCGUUAUAUUCUUGUAUUUGUCAAGCAAUCAAUGGGGAUCUAAAUUCACCUAAUUUAUGGUCCAUUUUCCCGGUCAACAGCGACAAGAAAGAAUUAUGUCGUAAGUCGGAUGACGUAGUAUUUUACUAAUCAAGUUGUUCUUCCUAUUGCGAAAACUUUUUAAGUCUUUACAGAUAUAUUAACAGAGUCAACAAGAUGCAAUGGAUGAAAAUGUACUAAUUUGACCAUGUGACGGAAGAUAACGGAAGAACAGCUUACAUAAUCUUUUGGGGAUGCUCGGUUUCGAAAAUCAUCCCACUUACGUAUUCCUAAAGCCCGUUCCAUGACGCCGGUUUCGCAUGGAGUGUAUUUGAGCCUCUAAUCUCACAGUCACAGCAUGAUGGAUUUUGUAAAAUUUGCCAACAUACACAAGUUUGAAAAAUAGAGAAACGUUACAGCAGCCGAUAUCUCAACCAAACAAGACCAAUCUCGUGGGAACGCUGUCUCCAUUGUUCAAAUUCCGAGGAUCUUUUUGAUACAUCGUAAGCAUCGAAGAAAACGGGAGAUUAGAUGGAGGUCAACUUGAUGGAAAUCGCUAGAAGAUAACUCGCGUUUUAAGGACAGAUGAGAGAAGAGUCAUGUUUAAUUAAUACAACCUGGUUUUUAUCAAUUUAUAUAAACAUUUUGUUUUGUUAAUUGUAACAUUAGUCGUACUGUAUUUAAAAUACCAUAUUAAAAGAGAAGCGUUGCUUUCCUGUA